This is a long non-coding RNA of Dipodomys spectabilis (banner-tailed kangaroo rat), 97 nucleotides long. RefSeq lists it as uncharacterized. The record is from RefSeq and is a predicted model, not a curated record. The transcript is spliced from 3 exons. NCBI's taxonomy places the organism in Eukaryota, Metazoa, Chordata, Mammalia, Rodentia, Heteromyidae.
CCCAGGCAGGAAAUUCCCUAAGACUUUUAACUCCAGUUAGCCACACAAAUCUGGAAGUGGAGCUGUCACUCAAGUGGAAAAAAAAACUCUGAGACAG